Molecule: ribosomal RNA, 864 nt
Filed under: uncultured archaeon
Lineage: Archaea
Description: bacterial SSU rRNA
Rfam family: Archaeal small subunit ribosomal RNA
Source: RNAcentral
UGAUACUAAGCCAUGCGAGUCAUUGCAGUAACGCAAGGCAGACGGCUCAGUAACGCGUAGUCAACCUACCCUAUGGACGGGAAUAACCUCGGGAAACUGAGUAUAAUGCCCGAUAGAACACUAUUCCUGGAAUGGUUUGUGUUCCAAAUGAUUUAUCGCCGUAGGAUGGGACUGCGGCCUAUCAGUUUGUUGGUGAGGUAAUGGCCCACCAAGACUAUUACAGGUACGGGCUCUGAGAGGAGUAGCCCGGAGAUGGGUACUGAGACACGGACCCAGGCCCUAUGGGGCGCAGCAGGCGAGAAAACUUUGCAAUGUGCGAAAGCACGACAAGGUUAAUCCGAGUGGUUUGUGCUAAACGAACCUUUUGACAGUCCUAGAAACACUGUUGAAUAAGGGGUGGGCAAGUUCUGGUGUCAGCCGCCGCGGUAAAACCAGCACCUCAAGUGGUCAGGAUGAUUAUUGGGCCUAAAGCAUCCGUAGCCGGCUCUGUAAGUUUUCGGUUAAAUCUGUACGCUCAACGUACAGGCUGCCGGGAAUACUGCAGAGCUAGGGAGUGGGAGAGGUAGACGGUACUCGGUAGGAAGGGGUAAAAUCCUUUGAUCUAUUGAUGACCACCUGUGGCGAAGGCGGUCUACCAGAACACGUCCGACGGUGAGGGAUGAGAGCUGGGGGAGCAAACCGGAUUAGAUACCCGGGUAGUCCCAGCUGUAAACUAUGCAAACUCAGUGAUGCAUUGGCUUGUGGCCAAUGCAGUGCUGCAGGGAAGCCGUUAAGUUUGCCGCCUGGGAAGUGCGUACGCAAGUAUGAAACUUAAAGGAAUUGGCGGGGGAGCACCACAAGGGGUGAAGCCCGCGGUUCAAUUGG